UUAAGUUCAGCGGGUAGUCCUGACUGAUUUGAGGUCUAAAAUUUAAAGUGCUGUAAUAGCGCAUUAGAAGCACCUCUAACUUUUGAAGAAAACGUCCUCAGCGAAAUAAUUAUUACGCCGAGUCAAGCCGUUUAUUUCAAAUGGGUUGCUCGUGUAUUUCAACUGAGCCGGCAAUUACGCCGACAGCAGUCAUAAUCCAA
Molecule: unclassified non-coding RNA, 200 nt
Filed under: uncultured Rhodotorula
Lineage: Eukaryota; Fungi; Basidiomycota
Description: sequence contains ITS2
Source: RNAcentral